RNAcentral lists this long non-coding RNA (372 nucleotides) under Elaeis guineensis (African oil palm). Its description in RNAcentral is "long non-coding RNA (EGUI_LNC066755)". Lineage: Eukaryota; Viridiplantae; Streptophyta; Magnoliopsida; Arecales; Arecaceae. The record is from RNAcentral.
UCAUCUUCUUCUCCUCGCCGGAAUAUAUGCCUUCCUCCACCAUGCUGUCUUCUUCUCAUCAACGGUCAAAGGGUGUCUUCUUCCUCUCAUUCAUCAUCCUCUCCCUUUCUCCCCGACAUCCUUGAGUCCACCACUACCAUCUGCCCAUUAAUAGUUGACUGGCUGCUUCAUCCUUGAUAGUUGACCGUCAUCCUCCCACCAUCUUCUUCUAUCAUCUCAUUCAUUUUCUUCUCCUCUUCUCCCCAGCAUCCCAUGGUGAAUUACCAUCAUCUCCACACCGAUGUGUAAGCCCCAACCCAAUCCAUUGACCAGUAGGCCUAACCAAGUCCAACUUGUCCAACCUGGUGUUGGAGAAAGGCCCAAAAUGGCUUG